RNAcentral lists this ribosomal RNA (402 nucleotides) under Coprobacillus cateniformis. RNAcentral's name for it is "bacterial SSU rRNA". It matches the Rfam family "Bacterial small subunit ribosomal RNA", at positions 75 to 472 of the family's 1533-position model. The record is from RNAcentral. Lineage: Bacteria; Bacillati; Bacillota; Erysipelotrichia; Erysipelotrichales; Coprobacillaceae.
GCACGUGAUUUUAUCAGUGAGUGGCGAACGGGUGAGUAAUACRUAAGUAACCUGCCCUCAUGAGGGGGAUAACUAUUAGAAAUGAUAGCUAAGACCGCAUAGGUGAAGGGGUCGCAUGACCGCUUCAUUAAAUAUCCGUAAGGAUAGCAGGAGGAUGGACUUAUGGCGCAUUAGCUGGUUGGUGAGGUAACGGCUCACCAAGGCGACGAUGCGUAGCCGACCUGAGAGGGUGGACGGCCACACUGGGACUGAGACACGGCCCAGACUCCUACGGGAGGCAGCAGUAGGGAAUUUUCGGCAAUGGGGGAAACCCUGACCGAGCAACGCCGCGUGAGGGAAGAAGUAUUUCGGUAUGUAAACCUCUGUUAUAAAGGAAGAACGGUAUGAAUAGGAAAUGAUUCA